UUGGAGGGCAAGUCUGGUGCCAGCAGCCGCGGUAAUUCCAGCUCCAAUAGCGUAUAUUAAAGUUGUUGCAGUUAAAAAGCUCGUAGUUGAAUUUCGGGAUUGACGUGAUGGUCAUGCCUUAAGGGGUAUGAACUGUUACUGUUGAUUUCUCACCUUCUGGAGAAACUUGAUGUCCUUUAUUGGGUGUCUUGCGGAUCCAGGACCUUUACCUUGAAAAAAUUAGAGUGUUUAAAGCAGGCAUUUUUGCUCGAAUACAUUAGCAUGGAGUAAUAGAAUAGGACGGCAUGGUUCUAUUUUGUUGGUUUCUAGGAUCACCGUAAUGAUUAAUAGGGAUAGUUGGGGGCAUUAGUAUUCAAUUGUCAGAGGUGAAAUUCUUGGAUUUAUUGAAGACUAACUACUGCGAAAGCAUUUGCCAAGGAUGUUUUCAUUAAUCAAGAACGAAAGUUAGGGGAUCGAAGACGAUCAGAUACCGUCGUAGUCUUAACCAUAAACUAUGCCGACUAGGAAUCAGACGAUGUUAAUUUUUUAAUGACUCGUUCGGCGCCUUACGGGAAAC
This 556-nucleotide ribosomal RNA is filed under the name uncultured Glomeromycotina. RNAcentral's name for it is "SSU rRNA". It matches the Rfam family "Eukaryotic small subunit ribosomal RNA", at positions 548 to 1098 of the family's 1831-position model. Lineage: Eukaryota; Fungi; Glomeromycota. The record is from RNAcentral.